GGUGCGGAACACGUGUGCACUGCUUUAUCUGGGGAUAGCUCGAAGGAAGAUUAUACCCAUAUAUGUUGAAUGGCAUCAUUCGACAUUGAAACUCCGGUGGAUAGAGAUGGGCACGCGCAGAUUAGCUAGUGUGAGGUAAGGGUCACAAGGGAGAUCUGUAGGGUCUUGAAGAUGAUCGCAACUGAAUUGAACGGUCAGAUUCUUACGGGGAGGCAGCAGUGGGAUUUUGGACCAAUGGCGGCAAGCUGAUCAAGCCAUGCCGGUGAGUGAAGAAGGCUCGGGUUGUAAAGCUCUUUCAGCCGGGGAAGAAACCGGCAUGGGUAAUACCUGUGUGGAUGACGGUACCGGAAUAGAAGACACCGGUAACUAAGUGCCAACAACGCGGUAAUACUUCAGGUGCGACGUUAAUCGAAUUACUGGCGUAAAGCGUGACGCCAGGCGGGUCUNGGUAAAAGAAUACGGCGUNCACUCCCCCCGGGGNUCAAAACCCUUGGGGAAACCNGGCGUUUUACUCACCUGGGAACGGAUCACAGUAUAGGCACAAACGGCGGGCUCCUAAAAAACACAACGUAGUACGCCAGCNAAAAAGAGCAAUACCCC
This 600-nucleotide ribosomal RNA is filed under the name uncultured bacterium. RNAcentral describes it as "partial 16S ribosomal RNA". The stretch from base 1 to 410 matches the Rfam family "Bacterial small subunit ribosomal RNA", at positions 105 to 546 of the family's 1533-position model. The record is from RNAcentral.